RNAcentral lists this ribosomal RNA (321 nucleotides) under uncultured cyanobacterium. Its description in RNAcentral is "bacterial SSU rRNA". It matches the Rfam family "Bacterial small subunit ribosomal RNA", at positions 225 to 562 of the family's 1533-position model. The record is from RNAcentral. Lineage: Bacteria; Bacillati; Cyanobacteriota.
AUGAGCUCGCGUCUGAUUAGCUUGUUGGAGUGGUAACGGCACACCAAGGCGACGAUCAGUAGCUGGUCUGAGAGGAUGAUCAGCCACACUGGGACUGAGACACGGCCCAGACUCCUACGGGAGGGAGCAGUGGGGAAUUUUCCGCAAUGGGCGAAAGCCUGACGGAGCAAGACCGCGUGAGGGACGAAGGCUCUGGAUUGUAAACCUCUUUUCUUAGGGAAGAAAUUCUGACGGUACCCAUCGAAUCAGCAUCGGCUAACUCCGUGCCAGCAGCCGCGGUAAUACGGAGGAUGCAAGCGUUAUCCGGAAUUAUUGGGCGUA